UGUACCCUACGGGGGGCAGCAGUGAGGAAUAUUGGUCAAUGGUCGGGAGACUGAACCAGCUAAGUCGCGUGAGGGAAGACGGUCCUAUGGAUUGUAAACCUCUUUUGUCGGGGAGAAAAAGACGCCACGCGUGGCGUUCCGAGAGUACCCGAAGAAAAAGCAUCGGCUAACUCCGUGCCAGCAGCCGCGGUAAUACGGAGGAUGCGAGCGUUAUCCGGAUUUAUUGGGUUUAAAGGGUGCGCAGGCGGAAGAUAAAGUAAG
RNAcentral lists this ribosomal RNA (261 nucleotides) under uncultured bacterium. RNAcentral's name for it is "partial 16S ribosomal RNA". It matches the Rfam family "Bacterial small subunit ribosomal RNA", at positions 333 to 591 of the family's 1533-position model. The record is from RNAcentral.